ACUCCCAGCUGCCCAGCCUGCAACUAGAGCUCAGCCACUGCAGGUGACAGCAACGGGACCCGCCUUUGAGCCUGAGGCCAGGACUGACGCCACAGCCUGCAGCUCCUCCCCAAGCCCAGCCCCAGCCCUUGCCCUUCAAUCCUGAGACCCUGAGAUGCAUGGGUGGGGCUUUCAUCCGGUGAGGAGCGGAGGCCCAGGGAGGUGGGUUCCCCAGCUGCCAGUACCCACUGGUCAGGCUGGGCUGGACCAGGUCCUGAAUCCCCGCCCUUCCACCCAUGGGCUCCCCAGGAAGGCUAAACUGAGGGAAGAAUUCCUGCUGGGAAAGCCCUGUUCUGGGACCAGGGUUUCGUCCCUCUAUUAGAGGGGGUCAGGGGGACACCUGGGAGCGGAACACCUGAGGGAGGAGCACCUGGCGGGGAGCCUUGGGGGAGGAGGCACCUGGGGGAGGAAGUCUGGAGGAGGGGUCUCCUGGUGGGGGGCCUGGAGGAGGGGUCUCCUGGGGGAGGGGCCUGGAGGAGGGGUCUCCUGGGGGAGGGGCCUGGAGGAGGGGUCUCCUGGGGGAGGGGCCUGGAGGAGGGGUCUCCUGGGGGGGGGCCUGGAGGAGGGGUCUCCUGGGGGAGGGGCCUGGAGGAGGGGUCUCCUGGGGGAGGGGCCCUUGGGGAGCCAACCCUAGUCAGUACGAGGUCCUGGGUGCAAAGUGGGUUGUGCGGCAGGGGGCUUGGGGCCUCAGCGGGGCUGCCCGGAGCUGGUCCUGGGCCUCUCUUGCUCUGGGUCUCCCCUGCUCUGGGUCCAGCCUCCCAAGCACCCCACCUGGCAAGACUUCCUCGCUCAGAACAGAGCCAACCCUGGCUGUCUUCCCAGGGUUUGUCGUGGAGAGGGCUCUGGCCCUUUAGCCUUCCAAGGAGCUUUCGGGGUUGGGGUACGUUUGUGACCCCAGUAGCCGCUGUGCUGGGGGCCCAGGGCAACUCCUCCGGGAGCAGGGAAGGCACUGCUGGCACCACCAGCCCCGCAGGGUCACCAGCAUCCCGUCUCCACCAGGGCUGCUGCUGUCCCUCCUCUGCUGAGGCCAGCUGUUACCGUGUUCGACAUGGACCAGGCCGUGUGGGAGGACACGGGGUGGCAGGUGCAGGGAGCACGGUCUGUUUUCUGUCACUCUCUGGUCCCAGCCUGAGCCCCAAUCCCUACCUCUGAGGGUCACACUUCCAACCCACCCCAGACAGAGCUGGAAGCAGGGGCUGGCAUGGGCGCUGGGGUAGACGCAGGGGUUGUCGUGGCCUGGCGUGGAAGAGCUGGGCUGGACGCAGUGGGUGGCGUGGCCUGGGGUGCUGCUCUCCAGCCUUCUUUCUCUUCUUCCUCUUCCUCUUGUUCUUCAUCUUCCUCCUCUUGCUGCAGAUCCUCCCCCAGGUGGCUCCAUUUCUGCUGGUCCCAUCUCCCGGAGGCCCUGCCCACAACCCCCUGCCCGCCAUCUAGGGGGACCCUGGCGUGGUCCAGGAGAGGGAGUCAAGGCCUGUGUGGGGCUCCUGGGGCUGGAGUCCUGGUCUGCCUUCUGGGGACAGAGACUAGGUCGCCCUGGGCUCCAGCUCUGUGGCCUGGCUGUGUGGGCUGGGCCAGGGCCUCUGCGUCACCUCCUUGCUGGGGGUGCAUACUUUGCAUUACAGCUGGGGAGGCUGAGACCCGGGGGGCCACAGCUGGUUCCUGGACUCCAAAGCCCAGGACCCUUCCAAAUCCUGCCUGGACGGCACCGUGGCCAGGACCCCAGCCAGCACUUCCCUUUUCUGCGAGGGUUUUCUGUUUCUUUGAUUAUAAAAUAACCCCUGUUGGUGGGGGGAAAAAAUUAGCAAAAUAAAGAAAAGCAAAAAAAAAAAAGAAAAUUAGAAUCUCCCGCAGUCUCACACCCUGUGGGCCUUUUGCGUAUUUCUUCCCGGGUGAGUUUUCUGGGCAUUAACAGAUGUUUGCUCUGCAGACCUGGCCUUGUGUCACCCUGGAACUCUGUGCCCAGCUCACCCUUCCGUGGCUUCCUGUGGCCGGGGGCUCCCUCCCCUUCCUGCCCCAGGUCUGAGGUGCCAACGGCUGCCUGUGGCCAGGGGCAUCUCCCCGUGGACACUGAGGGAGGAGCCGCGGCAGGGCUGGGCUCUCCCGCUGGGCUCCCUGCACCCUGCGGCCCCGGCCCCAGCCCCACCCCCAGCCAUGGGAAGGGUGCACUCCGGAGAGGCCGACGCAGAUGGGGCCCUGCCCCUGGCCUGAGCGUGGCCGUCAUCUGCUCAGGAGGGUUAAGCUCCUUUGUGCCCCAAGGAGCUUCAAGCCGAUCAAUACCCGGCUGGAAGUAGGGGGCUGCAGCUGGGGGGGCCCCACCGCCCUGACCCCAGAUGGACUUCCUGCUCCCUGCCCAGCUUCUCUGCGGGGGGAGGUCAGGUCAGUGGGCCUCCUGCUUGGCCUUUGGGGCCACCGCCCCUGGGCUCCAGCUGAGGCUGUCCCAGGGCCGGUCUCCCUUCCCGCCCCCACCCUACAGAGGCGGCCUCACCAGCCAGCCUCUGCCCCAGCAGAGUUAUUUUUAGCCCCAGCCCCGCCUGCUGCUACCACGGGCCUUUUCUCCGCAGAGAGAGGCGGGUGAGGCCUGAGGGCCUCACCCAGGGCAGCCAGUUCCCCAACCACGAAGGGAGGCAGGAGAGCUUCCCUGUGCGGGCAGGCGUCGCUGACCCUCCAAGGGGCAGAGCAGUGGGGGCUUCCUUCCUUCCUGGGUGUGGCUGGGGGGAGGGGGCUGAAGGCCUGGAGCCGGAGGGGCUUGCCCUAGAGCCCCAUAGCCAGGCAGGGGUCAGUGUCCACAGCUGGAGGGGCUGGAGAGGUGAGAGAGAUGGUCCCAAGGGAGCUGGGAGGCCCAGGAGUGGGCCCAGUGCUCAACCCGCUGCCAGGCAGGGACAAGACCUGAGAGAUGAGAGGGCGGCGGGGGUGACCCUCGGAGGGCAGAGGGCGCCAGGACGGAGAGAUGAACGGGGCAGUGGGGUGACCCAUGGAGACCCACAGAGAGCAGAGGGGCACCAGGAUGGGGAGACGGAGGCCAGUGGGGGCUGAGGGGUCCCGGGGGAGGACUGUAAGGAGCCACAUAGUGGCUGCGGUCGGCGUGGCUGGGAGACAGGGGUCCAGGAAGCCCACUGGAAGCUGCCGCCCCGGCUGUAGCUGCAGGGCUCUCUGUGGGAGCCGGGAGCUGGGUGCAGAGCUGCGUCGAGGCUGCCUGAGGCCUGGCAGCCCAGCAGGAGGGGACUUACCCCCACCCCCCCACGGAGGAGAAGGCUCUGGGGCCUGCUGGGUGCAGACGCAGCUGGGAUCUGCUUUGGGGAAGAAAACCUAGGCAGGUCACCGAGGCUCUGCCCAAGCCAACGCCUGUCACCUGUCACCGAGGUGUGGGUGUCUGUCCUCCUCCCAGCCGUCCAUCCCCCUCCCUCCUGGCCCCGCUCCAGCCCGCAGCCCCCAUGGGAGCCCGAGAGAGGACAGUCUCAGCAGGUGGCACAGACAGAUGCGGACUCCUCACUGCAGGUCACAAGGCAUGUUUUCAGAGACCAGCUGCGGUGAAGAUCAUCCAGCCCUUGGGCCCCUGAUCCGUUUGGAUACAGUUUCAAGCAUGAAUUUCUCCUUUGGUGGUUUGCUACAAAGAGAAGAGUUCUCAUGAUUUCUUUGGGGUGUUCAUCCUAUGAUUUUGGGGUGAGGAUUCGUGACAGAGACAAGCAACAGGAGUCCAGGAAGCCCUCGGGGGAGACGGGAAACAAGUCUUUUUGAAAAAACAGCUUUCUUUGAGACGUAGCUCACAUAUCAUAUGAUCCCUCCCCUUCCAGUGGACACGUCCAUGGCUUUCAGCGUGUUUAUAGAUGGGCAACAUCCCCACGGGCCCUUUUAGAACAUUCGCUUCACCUCAGAAAGAAACCCCACAGCUUUUAGCCAUCACCCUCCUCCCCAGGCCUAAGCAGUCCCUCAUCUGCUUCCGUCUCUGGGGACUUCCCUGUUCUGCGUUCUGUGUGACAUGUGGUUGUGUGUGAUUUAUGAUUGUGUGUAACAUGCGUUCCAUUUCAUCCAUGUGACAUGCGGUUGUGUGGGAGAUAUGAUUGUGUGUAACAUGCGUUCUGUAUGAUGUGCGGUUGUGUGUGAGAUACAGUUGUGUGUAACACACAUUCUGUAUGACGUGCAGUUAUGUGUAAGAUACGGUGUGUAACACAUGUUCCAUGUGACAUGUGGUUUGUGUGAUUUAUGAUUGUAACAUGCAUUCCAUGUGGUCCGUGUGACGUGGUUGUGUGUGAUACACCAUUGCAUGUAACGUGUUCCGUGUGAUGUGUGGUUGUGUGUGACACACCGUUGUGUGUAGCAUGUGUUCUGGCAGGCGGUCGUGUGUGGCUUCCUUCGCCGAGCACAGUGCUUUCACGAUGCCCCCGUGUUGGCGCGUGCCUGUGCCCCAUUCCUUUCUAUGCUGAAUGAUGCUCCCCAUGUGGGUGAACAUAUGGUGUUUGUCCAUCUGUCAGUCUGUGGACAUGUGAGCUGUCUCUGCCUUUUGGCUGCUGUGCACAAAGCUGCUGUGAGCUUUCCUGCAGUCUCUGUGUGGCUGUGUGUGUGUGUGGCUGUGUGUGUGGCUGUGUGUGUGUGGCUGUGUGUGUGUGUGUGGCUGUGUGUGUGGCUGUGUGUGUGUGUGUGGCUGUGUGUUUUUGCUUCUUUCAGGCUCACCCCUGGGGGUGGAGCCGCUGGGUCCUGUGGGUCAUGAUCAUGUGCGUCAUCUUCAGGAGGGUGCCAGGUUGUGCUCUGCAGUCCUAGGCAAGUGGAGGUGGUCCCGCUGCCAGCUUCAGCCUGAAGAGCAGGUGCUGAGUGAGGUGCUGAGCUUCCUGGUGUCCCUGCUGCACCCUGGUAGGCCAGCACCCCACCCACCAGAGCAGCUGUGGAGAGGACAGUGGGCAUGGUGGGGACUCCAAAUGGGACGCACACGGCCCCCAGGGGAGGCUCGGCUUGGGCACCCAGGCGGCCGGGGUAUCUCUAACCAGUGGCUGCCCAUGGGGUGAGUAGGGCCCUGCUGCCCCAUCAGAGCUUGUCCCACUGUGGCUGGCGAGGAGAUCAGCAAGGGCUUGAGGCCCAUUCUCGCAGCCUGUCCCCUGCCUGGGGUGGCCUGGCAUUCAGUGGUGGGGUCCCGGAAGCCCCGGUGCCGAGGCAGGUGUGCUCUGGCAGGCUUGAGCUGGGCCACCCUGGAGGCACCACUUGUCUUUGCGUUUCCCUCUCACCUGCUCCCUGGACAGGCCCUCUGCAUUUGAGGGCCUGUUUGUGUCCCCAGGGCAUCUCUGGAUGGGCAUGAGCACACAGGGACCCAGCACGUGGGUUCUGCACCAUCCAGCACUGUCCAUACAGGCCCUGGCAUGUCCUCCUGGCCUGUAAUUUUGUUCUGCAUGGCUUGGUUUUUGCACGAAGGGGAGCACAGUAUUCCUUUCUCAUCCUCCAAAAUGGAUUGCAAAUGUUCUGAGCUGUCACAUUGGCGAGAACGAAGCCCCUGCUAAUUGGCGCAUUUUCCUGCAACCACUCCAGGCUGAGUUCUAGAGGAAGCCUCUGCCUUUCUGUCUCACGUUGCGCACUUUCUCCCUGAAAUAUUUAAUGUGCUAAAUUCCAACUUCACACACAUCAGCUCUAAAGCCGACUAAUCAUUUAGCUUGAUUGUCGAACUGAAUUUGGCUCUGAGAUUUUAAAAUAAGAAAAAAAACUGUCAAGCUCUACGUAAGGCAGACACUAUGGCUGACUCUUCACAAGAAAAUAUCUUUCUUUCUUGAGGGAUUUGUGGCAGAGUCCAUCUUUAUGGAGAGUAGAAAUCGUUUUACCCACCAGGGCAGCAUAUAAAAUGUUAGGCAGAUGUUAAAUAUUGAUGUAGAAACUCAAAAUACUUUGUCUCUUUCCAGAAAUGAGCGUUUUGGUUUAAUUACUCUGAAUCUAAUGACUGUGGAAAAAACACAACACGUGUGCGUUCCGAACGGAAAACAUUUAGAUUAAGGAAGAAUUUCAGCUCCUCAAAACUGGGAAAGGAGCAUACUGGGCCUGUCCUGCAGUGGGGCUGCUUGCUGAUACUGACACGCAUGUGCGACUGGGUGCCCAUGCGUGUGCGUGCGUGUGCCGUGUGGAUGCCGUGUGCCCGUGCCUGCGCGUGCGUGUGCCGUGUGGGUGCCGUGUGCCCCUGCGUGCGCGUGCGUGUGCCGUGCGUGUGCCGUGUGGGUGCCGUGUGCGCGUGCGUGUGCCAUGUGGAUGCCAUGUGCCUUGCAUGUGCCGUGUGGAUGCCGCAUGCCCGUGCGUGUGCCAUGUGGAUGCCGUGUGCCCGUGUGUCCACGUGCGUGUGCCGUGUGGAUGCCGUGUGCCCGUGUGUGUGCCGUGUGGAUGCUGUGUGCCCGUGCGUGUGCCGUGUGGAUGCUGUGUGCCCAUGUGUGCCUUGCGUGUGCCAUGUGGAUGCUGUGUACCCGUGUGUGUGUGCAUGUGCCAUAUGGAUGCUGUGUGCCCAUGAGUGCUCAUGUGUGUGCCGUGUGGAUGCUGUGUACCCACGCGUGCGCGUGCUUGUGCCGUGUGGAUGCUGUGUACCCACGCGUGCGCGUGUGUGUGCCGUGUGGAUGCUGUGUACCCACGUGUGCGCGUGCGUGUGCCGUGUGGAUGCUGAAUUGCACUUUCAACGACGUGACCGUUCCUUCCUUGCAGGCCACCUCCGGAGGUGUUCACUGCCGGUGGCUGUACCUGGCCAUAGAUCUGGGGGCUGUGCUGCCCCAGGCAUCCCACCCUGUUCCAGGACACAGAGGCCAAUGCUGUUCCCCUGUUCCGGCAGGCGUGGGCUGCACGCCUGCUGGCAAGGGGCUCAGCUGGCCUGAGCCUGGGCCAGCUGUCCCUAGAGCAUCUGCUCCUGUGGGGAGGGGGCGUUUUGACAGCAUGGGGAUAAUUUUUUUCAUAAUUAAGAGUUUUUUUUUUAAGUGAAUAGACUUUAUUUUGUAGAGCAGUUUUUGGUUUACAGAGCAGGGAGCAGGUAGCACAGGGCAUUCCCUGAGCCCCCACCCACAGUGCCCUUAUGCCCGUCAUUUGCAUCGGCACUGGUGCCAGUCCAGGGCCUGUUAGGAACCAGGCCACACAGCAGGAGGUGAGAGGUGGGCAGGCAAAGCAUUACCACCUGAGCAUCACCUCCCGUCACAUCAGCGGCAGCAUUAGCUUCUCAUACGAGCAUGAAUCCUAUUGUGAACUGCCCAUGCCAGGGAGCUAGGCUCCGAGCUCCUCACGAGAAUCUAAUGCCUGAUGACCUGAGGUGGGCCAGUUUCAUCCCCAAUCAUCGCCCCCCCCAGCCUCUGGUCUAUAAGAAAAAUGUCUUUCAUAAAACUGGUCCCUGGUCCCUGGUGCCAAAAAGGUUGGGGACCACUGCUGCUGUUCCAUCAGUUUUGACAAAUGCACGAUGCCGUGUGUCCACCAUCACAGUAUCGUAUGGAAUCAUUUCACUGCCCUAGAAAUCCCUGCGCUCUACCAUUCAUGAUUUACUUGGACAAAAACACAUACGGCCACCAAGGAAAACAGCCAUAGUGAAGCAGAUGUCAAAAUAUCAACAAAGCAGAUGUGUGAGGGUGGCAGUGGCUGCAUUACACGUCGCACUGGAUAACAAAACCCAGCGUCCAGCAGCCCCUGAGUUUUAGAGGUGGAGGUGAGUGUGGACAAGUUUGAAAAACCUGCAACAACUGCAAAGUGAUACAAACACACCUGUGUUUUCUAUUUGAGAUAAAGCCCUGGGAUGGCUGGCGUUCCUCGUGGAAGGAAAUGCCAGAUUUCAGUCAGAGCUUAGUAAAAUAGAGAUGUUGCUUUUUCUCGUCCAAGUUCACAGACCCCAUGAAUGAAGCAUCCCUGCUCUAGGAAAGCACGGAAAGCUUGUGCAUCAGAGGGACAUAUGCCCACAGGGAUUGAAAAUGUGUUUUCAAAACAAGGUAUGUUGUUUGCAAAAUCUCCACCAUUACAAAUAGCCACGUAGGCUUCUGAUGGCUCUAUGUGCACAGCCAAUUCCGAGUGAAUUCAAUUAUUUCACAUUGACAGGAAACAGGUUAAUUAGGAGAAGUUGAUUAGGCUUUGCAAAAGGAGAUGUAAUUAAUGCCCAACCGCAUGCCAGGCACGACGGCUGCAUUUCAAUGUCUUCACAUGACUGAGAGAGUUACUGCCUGAGAGCUGGGAGACAGCAGGGGAGCAACCAGCAUGCCGGCGCCUGGGGUGUCCAGCAAGUGGCAGGGGGCGCUGCUGGCCCAAAAGGUUAGCUCAGGUGUGCCACGAUCCCCAUCAUCAUCAUCAUCACUAUCACCAUCAUCACACCAUCACUAUCACUGUCAUCACAAUCACCAUCAUCAUCACCACUAUCACUGUCAUCACUAUCAUCAUCACCAUCACUAUCACUGUGACCAUCACCAUCAUCACCAUCAUCAUCACACCAUCACUGUCACUGUCAUCACAAUCACCACCAUCAUCAUCAUCACUAUCACUGUCAUCAUUAUCAUCACCAUCACUAUCACUGUCACCAUCACCAUCAUCAUCAUCACACCAUCACUAAAAUGUCAUCGUCAUCACAUUCAUCAUCAUAUCACAAUCACUAUGAUCACCAUCACUGUCACCAUCAUCAUCAUCACAUUCAUCAUCACAUCACAAUCACCAUCAUCAUCACCAUCACUAUCACUGUCGUCAUCAUCAUCACAUUCAUCAUCAGAUCACAAUCACCAUCACUGUCACCAUCACAAUCAUCACCAUCACCAUCACAUUCAUCAUCACAUCACAAUCACCAUCAUCACCACCAUCACUCUCACUGUCAUCACAAUCACCAUCAUCAUCAUCACCAUCACUAUCACUGUCACCAUCACAAUCAUCAUCACCAUCACUAUCACUGUCAUCACUAUCAUCACCAUCACUAUCACCGUGACCAUCACCAUCAUCAUCAUCAUCACACCAUCACUAUAAAUGUCAUCGUCAUCACAUUCAUCAUCAGAUCACAAUCACUAUGUGACUGUCACCAUCACAGUGACUGUCACCAUCACCAUCACAAUCACCAUCAUCAUCACCAUCACUAUCACUGUCAUCACUAUCAUCAUCACCAUCACAGUCACUGUCACCAUCAUCACACCAUCACUAUCACUGUCAUCACCACCAUUAUCCCCAUCAUCUUCAUCUCAUCACCAUCACUCCACCUUCAUCACCUCAUCACCAUUACACCACCAUCACUGUCAUCACUGUCACCAUCACCAUCACCACCAUCAUCUUCAUCUCAUCUUCACCACCACCGUCUUCAUUAUCACCUCACACCACUGUCAUCACCUUUGUCAUUAUUGCUGUUGUCAUCACACUCCUCACAGCUUCCUCAUGCAUGCCUGUGUGCAAGGCUCUCUGGAAGGUGCUGGGCUGCUGAGGCAUGUUUCUGGAGGAACGGCUGCGGGCACCACACCACAAACAAGCCAUGUGGACCAGAUGUGGCCGGGACCUGGCCUGGCUCCUGUCUUGCAAGCCCCCUGCCUUGAGAAAUGGGGACUGUGUGGAUGAACACACGGGCUCGGUGGAGGGGAGAAUGCCGCCUUUGGAGAGGUAGGAGGGCUCCAAGCGGACUUCGAGGACAGGGAGCCUCAGCAGUGUGGCCCUGGCACUCUACCAGGCCUCAGGGUGUACCCUGGUGGGCUUCAGUCCAGGCCAGAGCAGCUGCGCAGUGUCCCUGCUCACUCCUCAUCCCCGGGCAUUCUCAGCUGUGCUCUCCCGCCCUUGCCCACUCAUCCCAUUUUCUGCCCCAAUUGUUUUGACUCCUUCCUCCAAGGACCACAGAUGUCCCCUUCCCUCUGCAUGGGUCCCAGAAUUUGGGGCCAGUCAGGCCUUAGCUCAGAGCAGGCACCCUGACCACCCAUCAAUCCCAGCAUGAGAUGCAGGAGGGAAGCAGAGCCAGAAGGCUGGGUGGCCUGUCCAGCGCUCCAGGGAAAGCCCAGCUCCAUCAGGCCAGGCUUCAAAUGUCAACCUGCAUCCAGCAGCUCAGCCUCUAAGUGUCCCCAACCCUUCCACAGUGGCCACUACCCACUCCACAAUGGAGCCUGGCUCCAGGCCGAGGGGCCAGUGGCAGCAGGGUGUGCUGGAGACCCCCCGUGAGAAGGACAGGGGUCAGCGGCCCUCCCCACCGUGACCUUUUAUAGUCCCCAUUCCAAGCCCAUCCUCCCUCCCUGAUGUCUGGGCCUCCCAGCACAGCCCCGUGCCCCACCAAGAGCCACAGAGGCAGCCCCCGUGCUCUGUCCCUGCAGCUUGGUAACCGUGGGGCAGCAUGGGCCCUCCCUCUGCACACCCAGCGCAUGCCUGGGUGCUCCCACCUGCCGGACCUGGCUGGCCUCCAUUCAAGUGGGGAGGCCCUGGGACCACACCCCAGAGUGCCUGGGAGGGCAGAGGUAGGCCUGCUGCCAACACAGGGCCUGGGAACGUGGUGCCUCAUCUGGCCCAGCCGGGGCCCAGAACAGCACCCUUCCUGGGAGAUCAGGCUCCAGUGUUGACCCCUUGCCCUGGCUCAUCGGCUCCUCCCGGCUGUGCCGGGAUUCCUGGCUCUUGGUCCCCAUCCACCCCUCCUCCCUGGCAAGCCAGGCUGCAGGCCCCACCUUCUCCCCAGCUCCUUCCUUCCUCCUGUGGCCCAUGCUGUCUCCAGGAGAGCAGGGGGCUCAGGAAGGGAUUCUGCCCGUGGGCACUGCUGACCUGGGCAGGCAGGGGCAGGGUGGGCUGCACUUCCUCCCAUCUCAGGACCUGGCAGGGGUGGCACAGCCCAGCUGCAGGGACUCUGGCGGGAGUGAGCUGCCCUGCCCCCACUGUGCCUCUCAGGGCCUGUCCCCCUCCCACCUGAGCCCUCCACUGGGCGUCUCUUCUGAAUCCAGUCCAUGCCCACUGGCUGCCUGUGCCCCAGGUUGGGCUUUGCGCUGGAGCUGCACCCCAGGCUCUGCAAAGCCACCAUGGUGACAGUGUUUCCAGGGAAACCACAGCAGGCUGCCAGGCAAGUGCAGGCGGAGGACACCCAGGUGGGAGGUGUGUGUCUGUGUGUGUGAGGGAGAGCAGGAAGGUGUGGCGCGUGUUCGUGGGUUGUGUGUCCAUGAGGUGGUGUGUAUGUGGGGGUACCCUUGAGAGCUUGUGUGUUUGUAGGUCAUUGUGGGGCACAUGCCUGAGGGUCCUGGGUGUGUGUGUCUGAGGCAGCUAAGUGUGUAUGUAUAUGUGCAUGUGUGAGCACAUGCGUGUCAGUGUGUGUGAGUGUGGGGGUCCAUGUGCAUCGGUGUGAUGUGUGCACAUGUGCCAGUGUGUGUGUUGGGAUGCAUGUUUGCAUGUGUGUGUCAGUCUGUGUUGGGGUGUCUGUGUCUAUGUGUGCAUGUGUUGGGGUAUCUAUGUAUCUGUGUAUGUGUGUGCGUGUGUGUAUAUGCUGAGGUGUUGUGUCUGUGUGCAUGUGUGUGCACACGUGUGUCAGUGUGUUGGGGUGUGUCUAUAUGUGCAUGUGUUGGGGUGUCUGUGUAUCUGCAUAUGUGUGCACACAUGUGUCUGCAUGUGCCUGUGUGGUGUCGUUGUGUCUCUCCGUGCAUGUGUGUGCACAUGUGUGUCAGCGUGUGUGCAUGUUGGGGUGUCACGUAUGUGUCCUGAGUGUGUUUCUGUGGGCCUGAGGGUCCCUGGUGGGCAACCUUGUCUACCCAGCACCAAGGAUCUGUGUCCCCAGCAACACUGCCGCUCCCCUCAGCCCAUCCCCCAGGGUCCCUGAGCCUUCAGGUAAACUCACCUUAGCCAAUGACAGCAGGCUUGUAGGGGCCACGCGGGCUGCGCUUGGACCUGUCCCAGAGCGUGAGGGUGCUGUGAUCCUCUGAGGGCCCGGCAGGCCUGGUGGGGCAGGGUCCCGAGAAGGAAGAUGGUGCCUUCAGAUCAUGGGGUGUUCCUUGAAGCUUCCUGUCCACCUCACCCCCGCACCCCACCCCUGCUCACCCUCCUCCUGGGGCUCAAUAGCAUCCCCUCCCCAGGGGCUCCUCCUCCCCACCAUUCUUGUCCCCUGAGGUCGCUGGGCCCCCAGCAGCUCAGGCUGGCCAUCUAGAAGGUGCAGGCCCCAGGACUGGACCCAGCUGGGCAAGGCCUGGGGUUCACUCUGAGGCCUGGGGCACCAGCCCCUCAGAGGCACCAAGGACAGAAUCAUUCUCAGGGCCAGGCCGUGGGGCACAGCUGCCCCCUGUAGCCCCCAACGCCCCAUCUGUCCACACAGGCUCAGCAGCUCCCACCUGCCUAGCUCUGUGGCCCCAAGGGCCCCUCCCCGUAGGGUCUGAGUGGCCCAAGGCAGGGCAAAGUCUCACCUUGCCUGGAAAUCUGGGAGGCUCCAAGGACCCCGAGCCUGCACCUCAUUCAUUCAUUCAUUCAUUCUGCCAUCAGCUCCUGUGGAGCUCUUGUCUGAGUUCCAGGCCCCGGGCCAUGUGCCAGGCCCCAGGGAAUCAAGACAGUCCAGGACAGGCCCUGGAGCAUCUCCCCAGCUCUCUCAGUCUCCUGGUUCAUCACAGAGGCCAGUGCCUUUGUUGGAGUGAGCAGCUGUGAGGGGCAGUUUGGGCAUGAAAGAAGGAACCAGCCACUUUGGAGCAUCAGGGAGGACUUCCUGGAAGAAGCCAUCUCUAAGCUGAUCCUCAAAGAGCUGAGAGCAAGCUUGGCGGGCUGUCACUGGAGAAGGAGAAAUAUUCUGGAGAGGGAGUGCAGAGUGUGCACGUCCCGAUGCAGAGAGGGACGCAGCGGGGAGCUCCUCUCUGAGACAGGGUCCCACGCCAGGCAGUGUGAGAAGCAGGGGAGGCUGCAGGCCAUGGUGGUUGGCCAGAGUGAGUGCCCAGCAGGGAUAGCCUGGGGGGCCUGGCAGGGGCUGUCCCAGGCAGGUCUGCAGCAUGGACCACGGCAGAACCCCAGGAGGCUCCUCAGUGAUGCAGGGUGGGGACAGGCUGUGCAGGCCACGGGUGGGAUGGAGCAGGUGCAGUGGCCCACCAACCACCCAGACAGCAGGGGGCCCCUCCCGCCGUGCCACACACAGGUUAGGCCUGGGUGAGGGCGGUGUGGAGGACAGACCGAGUCAAGCCCAGGUAGUUACGGAGCGUGUUUAGUGCGCCCUCGCUUCGUGUUCACCCUGUAACGGCCCAGGCCCCAGGAGAAGCAGCCCCGGGGGCUCCCGCCCUGCAGGCCCAGGGGAGGGCACCCAGCAGGGAGGCUGGAUCAGGAGGGGCUCAGCUCCCACAGGUCUGGGCACCGCCAGCAGAGCCCCCAAAGGACCUGGAUGCCCUAGCCCCAAGGGCAGGGGAGCAGCCACCCGGCAACAGGGCUGGGACACUGUGAGGGGCCUGCAGUGCUGGAGGUGCAGAUACAGCACCCCCAGGGAUGCUCCGGGGCAGCCCUUUUAGGCAGCAGAUGUGGCCACCACCCUGUGCCCAGCAGAGGCUGCCAAGCCCACCCGCCCUUAGCAGGAAGGGGGUCAGGACCUGGCCUGAGUGAGAGGGACGAGGAGAGAAGAGAGCAGUCAAUGACUGGAACGGACCCAGUGGCCUUCGUCCCACCUGGCCAGCACUGGCCCCUCGCCUCCCCUCCCCACACCCCAUGACCCCAGGGACAGGCCUGAUGUGGACAGAGUCCCCGAGAGAUGCACAUUUACAAGUUUGAUCCAGUGGAUAGAUUUUCCUCUUUGCUAAUCGGAACACGUCUGCUGUGGCUGCCGUAAUAGGCAAAUGAAACAAUUAAAACGAGCAGAAUGCACCCAGUUAACAUUUCAAACAAGAACGCUUUUCCCUUUAAGCUAAUACUGGACUGAAGACAAAAAGGAUGUCAGCUUGAAGCUGAUGAGAAUGAGUAGCUUUGCAGCUCCCCUGAGGCAGGCCUGGAGCUGAGUGCAGGCGGCAGCCCCUGCCCUCAUCCCCCUCGGCCCUGUGCUGGCCACGUGGGCGACCACGGGCACCCUCCUUACACCUGGGAUGCAUUUGUCUGCAGGUGCCCGCCGGCCCCUCCCUUCAAGCCUCACGGAAUUGAAACAAGGGGCUGCAGGAAUCGAUUCUCCGGCCGAAAGACUUCUCCAGUAAGGGAGCUUCCCAGGCUCCGUUUCACAGGAGCACCGGCUGGGGGAGGACCGGGAGGGCCUUCAUUAUGCAGUCAUUACAGAGUCUCAUCAAGCGCUGAUUCCACCUGCUUGAGAAGCCGACUUUUUUUUUUUUUUUUUUUUUUUUUUUUUGAGACAGCGUCUUGCUCUGUUGCCCACGCUGGGGUGCAGUGGUGCGAUCUUGGCUCACUGCAACCUCCGCCUCCGAGGUUGAAGCCAUUCUCCUGCCUCAGCCUCCUGAGUUGCUGAGAUUACAGGCACGUGCCACCACACCCAGCUAAUUUUUUUUGUAUUUUUAGUAGAGAUAGGGUUUCACCAUGUUAGCCAAGAUGGUCUCGAACUCCUGGCCUCGUGAUCUGCCCGUCUCGGCCUCCCAAAGUGCUGGGAUUACAGGCGUGAAUCACCACGCCCAGCCCAGAAGCCAGCCUUUCUUUGGUUCUGGAAGCAACAGCAGAGCCAUGACUUUGGUGGUGGAGACUGGUCUUUGUUCAAAUAAAUGUCACCACCCUGGACACUAGGCCGGGCAUAACAGACCACAAAGCCAGGUGGUGGCUGACCUGCAAGACCGUAGCCUCAGAGCUGCAGCUUCUCCCAGGGAGGGGCGCCUGGCAGUGCCUGCAAGGACGGAGACCCCGGCAGUGUCUAGGUCCGUGUCCCAUGCUGAGGGUGCACUGGGUGACGUGGGAGGCGGGCCCUGGUCACAUGCAUGGGCCCUUGACCACAUGCAGCUCGGUUGGCCCCAGCUGACUGUCCCCAUCCUGGAGACCCGCGGCAGCCUGAGAAGGGCCUCGGUGGUCAUCCUCGUCUGUUCCUUCUGCUAAAACAAAAUACCUCAGAGGGGGCAAUUUGUAACCAGAAUUUCAUCGCUCAGUUCUGGAGGCUGGGACGUCCAGGACCGAGGCCCCAGCAGAUUCAGCGUCUGGUGAGGGCUGCUUUCUGCUCUCUGCUCCCAGGACGGCGGCUUCUUGCUGUGUCCUCACCCAGUGGCAGGGACGGGAGGGUGGGGAAGGGCAACCAGGACCCUCAAAACUCUUAUGAGGCUACUGGUCCCAUUCAUAUCCUCCUCAUCUCCCAAAGCCCACCAGUGAUGCCAUCGCCUUGGGGCUUAAGUUCUAACAAAUGAAUCUGGGGGUGACAUCAACAUUCAGACCAUAGCAGCAGCUGUGAUGGUUACUUUUGUGUCAGCUCGACCAGGCCACGGUCCCCAGCUAUUUGGUCAAACACCAGUGUAGACGUCGCUGUGAGGGUGUUUCUUGGAUGAGGUUAAUAUUUCAAUCAGGAGACUUUGGGUAGAGCAGAGUACUGACCAUAUUAUAGCCUCAUCCAGGCAGUCCAAGGCCUUAAGAGAAAAAGACAGUUGUCCCCGAGGAAGAGGAAGUCCCGCCUCCGGACGGCGGCCCCUGGAGGAAGAGGAAGUCCCGCCUCCGGACAGCUUCCAAACAUGAGCCGCAGCAGGAGUGUCCCUGGGUCUCCAGCGGCCCUCAGGUGUCAGAUGAGCAGCUGCCACAAACACAUAAGCCAAUUCUUUAAAAUAAAUCUCUCUUGCACGCUCUCCCUAUGUAUAUAUUUACAUUUUAUAUAUAUAUACACACACUACAUGUAUACUACAUAUACACACUAUGUAUACACAUACAUACACUGUGUAUAGAAUAUAUAGGUAUGCAAUAUGCACAGACCAUAUACACUAUGCACACUGUAUAUAAUCUCUAUAUAUGUAUACUAUAUAUACACUAUACAUACACUGUAUAUAUCUAUAUGCACACUAUAUUACACAAAUAUAUGCAUACUCUAUAUUAAUGUACACUAUAUGCACACUAUGUAUACAUAUGCUAUCUCUAUAAUAUAUACACAUUAUAUGUGUACAUACACUAUAUAUACUCUGUAUGCAUGCUACAUAUACACUAUACACACACAGUAUAGUCCAUAUGCAUACACUAUAUACACACACUAUAACUUUACACACACACACUAUAUAUACUCUAUAUGCACACACUGUAUAUAUGCUGUAUAUGUGUGUACUAUAUGCACACUCACACUAUGAAUAUUCUAUAUAUGUACACAAUAUCAAUAUAUACCCUAUAUGUACAUGGUAUAUGCCCUAUAUGUCCACGGUAUAUGUCCUAUAUGCACAUGGCAUAUGGCCUAUAUGUACACGGGAUAUACCCUAUAUGUACACAGCAUAUGCCCUAUAUGUAUGUGCUAUAUGUCCUACACGUACACUGUAUAUACUCUACAUGUACAUAGUAUAUACCCUAUAUGAUGUACAUGGUAUAUACCCUAUAUGUACAUUGUAGAUACCCAAUAUGUACAUGGUAUAUGACCUCUAUGUACACGGGAUAUACC
RNAcentral lists this long non-coding RNA (16435 nucleotides) under Homo sapiens (human). Its description in RNAcentral is "non-protein coding lnc-PWWP2B-1:3". The record is from RNAcentral. Lineage: Eukaryota; Metazoa; Chordata; Mammalia; Primates; Hominidae.